Long non-coding RNA from Ailuropoda melanoleuca (giant panda), 501 nucleotides. RefSeq lists it as uncharacterized. The record is from RefSeq and is a predicted model, not a curated record. The transcript is spliced from 3 exons. NCBI's taxonomy places the organism in Eukaryota, Metazoa, Chordata, Mammalia, Carnivora, Ursidae.
GUAGUAACAGAAGCUUCUGGCAUUAACACAAUGCUUUAGAAAGACCCAUAUAUCUCUGCCCUGCUUCACACUUGAGAUAGAAACAAGAGAUGGAGAAACUAAAGCUCGGAGAGAUUAAGUACAUCGCUCAGUGUCACACAGCUCGCAAAAUGCGUUCACUGAAUCUCCAGGCUCCUGCCUCCAUACGGAACAUGAAUCAGACAUUUCAGUAGCUAACGGGAAGUGACAUGGUUUCUCUCCAGCUUAUUUCUUAACAUAGGCAAGAAACCCAGCGUGCAAAACAUCCCCAGAUGGGAACCAAAACUACUCCUUGAAGCAAUAAGGACUGCCCUGAGCCAGCAAGAGUCACGUGACCGACCCCAAGACAAGGAUCAAUUUGAUCUUCACUGCCCCCCUGCACUUUCCCGCCCACCUUUGUCCCCCAUUUUCCUCAUAAACUUGGAAGUAUUUCCAGCACUUUGCAGACCGUCUGAGACACUAGUCUGCUGUCUUCCCGGUGUC